RNAcentral lists this ribosomal RNA (846 nucleotides) under uncultured Bacillota bacterium. Its description in RNAcentral is "bacterial SSU rRNA". It matches the Rfam family "Bacterial small subunit ribosomal RNA", at positions 58 to 936 of the family's 1533-position model. Lineage: Bacteria; Bacillati; Bacillota. The record is from RNAcentral.
CAAGUCGAACGAGAAAGGGGAGCAAUCCCUGAGUACAGUGGCGUACGGGUGAGUAACACGUGGAUAAUCUAUCUCUUAGUGGGGAAUAGCCCCGGGAAACCGGGGAUAAUACCGCAUAAGCUCGAGAGAGGAAAGCAGCAAUGCGCUGAGAGAGGAGUCCGCGGCCGAUUAGCUAGUUGGCAGGGUAAAAGCCUACCAAGGCAGAGAUCGGUAGCCGGCCUGAGAGGGCACACGGCCACACUGGCACUGAAACACGGGCCAGACUCCUACGGGAGGCAGCAGUGGGGAAUCUUGCACAAUGGGGGAAACCCUGAUGCAGCGACGCCGCGUGAGCGAUGAAGCCCUUCGGGGUGUAAAGCUCUUUCGGCAGGGAAGAUAAUGACGGUACCUGCAGAAGCAGCUGCGGCUAACUACGUGCCAGCAGCCGCGGUAAUACGUAGGCAGCGAGCGUUGUUCGGAGUUACUGGGCGUAAAGGGUGUGUAGGCGGUUGUUUAAGUUUGGUGUGAAAUCUCCCGGCUCAACUGGGAGGGUGCGCCGAAUACUGAAUGACUUCGAGUGCGGGAGAGGUGAGUGGAAUUCCUGGUGUAGCGGUGAAAUGCGUAGAUAUCAGGAGGAACACCGGUGGUGUAGACGGCUCACUGGACCGUAACUGACGCUGAGACACGAAAGCGUGGGUAGCAAACAGGAUUAGAUACCCUGGUAGUCCACGCCCUAAACGAUGCAUAUUUGGUGUGGGCAGUUCAUUCUGUCCGUGCCGGAGCUAACGCGUUAAAUAUGCCGCCUGGGGAGUACAGUCGCAAGGCUGAAACUCAAAGGAAUUGACGGGGGCCCGCACAAGCGGUGGA